RNAcentral lists this transfer RNA (74 nucleotides) under Paragonimus heterotremus. It matches the Rfam family "tRNA". From Rfam's summary of the family: Transfer RNA (tRNA) molecules are approximately 80 nucleotides in length. Their secondary structure includes four short double-helical elements and three loops (D, anti-codon, and T loops). The record is from Rfam by way of RNAcentral. Lineage: Eukaryota; Metazoa; Platyhelminthes; Trematoda; Plagiorchiida; Troglotrematidae.
GCUCUAGUAACGCAGCCGGUUAGCGCGUCAGUCUCAUAAUCUGAAGGCCGUGAGUUCGAGUCUCACCUGGGGCA